This 647-nucleotide unclassified non-coding RNA is filed under the name Hevea brasiliensis (rubber tree). The record is from RNAcentral. Lineage: Eukaryota; Viridiplantae; Streptophyta; Magnoliopsida; Malpighiales; Euphorbiaceae.
AUUAUGGGAAACAUGAAGGCAAUUAGGCCAUUAGCUUCCUUGGUUAUUGUUCUACUAGUUGCAGGUGUGAUGAGCAUAUGGGAUGUGAAAACAGCAAGUGCAGCUCUGAGUGCUGCACAGUGCAAGGAAGAGAGGAGGCUUGGGCUUAAUGCUUGCAAACCAGUAGUAUAUGGCAGGCCUCCAUCGCCUCAGUGUUGUGAACGUAUAAGAGUUACCCACAUUGAAUGUGUGUGUCCUGAUGUCACCCCUAAAAUCGCUGCCCUUAUUGACAUGAACCGUGCCGUUCGAAUCAUUGAAGGCUGCGGCAGAAGGGUUCCUCGCCAUUACAAGUGUGGAAGUAUCACCACUCCAUGAAAACUGGGCUGGCUGCGCGAUCGAUGUGUUUGAUUUCUGGUUGCUUUCAAGCGUGAUGCCUUCUUCAACAAUUCACUCGAUCUCUGAGGUUGGAGAAGACUUAUGGGUAUUUAUAUUAGCACAGUACUAUAACUUGAAUAAGUAUAUGGGUCAUUUAAAUCCAUGGCAUUCCGCCAUGACUGAUAAUAGGUAUAGAUGUAAUAGAGGCCAAGAAUAACCAGAUUACUUUAUCUUGUUCAAUGCAUGUGGAAGCAUUGGUAUUUGUCUGUUUCCUUUUUUUCCCCUCCUUUGUC